This 467-nucleotide ribosomal RNA is filed under the name uncultured bacterium. RNAcentral's name for it is "partial 16S ribosomal RNA". It matches the Rfam family "Bacterial small subunit ribosomal RNA", at positions 28 to 507 of the family's 1533-position model. The record is from RNAcentral.
GACGAACGCUGGCGGCGUGCUUAACACAUGCAAGUCGAACGGAAAGGCCCUGCUUUUGUGGGUGCUCGAGUGGCGAACGGGUGAGUAACACGUGAGUAACCUGCCCUUGACUUUGGGAUAACUUCAGGAAACUGGGGCUAAUACCGGAUAGGAGCUCCUGCUGCAUGGUGGGGGUUGGAAAGUUUCGGCGGUUGGAGAUGGACUCGCGGCUUAUCAGCUUGUUGGUGGGGUAGUGGCUUACCAAGGCUUUGACGGGUAGCCGGCCUGAGAGGGUGACCGGCCACAUUGGGACUGAGAUACGGCCCAGACUCCUACGGGAGGCAGCAGUGGGGAAUAUUGCACAAUGGGCGGAAGCCUGAUGCAGCAACGCCGCGUGCGGGAUGACGGCCUUCGGGUUGUAAACCGCUUUCGCCUGUGACGAAGCGUGAGUGACGGUAAUGGGUAAAGAAGCACCGGCUAACUACGUG